Molecule: long non-coding RNA, 2095 nt
Organism: Caretta caretta (loggerhead turtle)
Lineage: Eukaryota; Metazoa; Chordata; Testudines; Cheloniidae
Source: RefSeq, a predicted model, not a curated record
GCCUUCACUUCUAGCUCCCCUAACCGGAACCGCCAUCGCUCGCGAGCCCGCGGGGGCUGCCAGGGCGGACGCUGAGAGCCACGGCGAGCGGCAGCGUUCCGGGCGCCGAUACGUUGGGAGCGGGUGAAGGCGCGGGGCUCGGAGAGGCAGGAGACGCAGGCGGCGAAGUACUGGGGGCUCUUCGUGGGAGCCCUGCGAAGGUCAGGUCACAGGGCGCGGGGAGCGAGCGGAAGUGGAGCUCCUGGGCCCGCGAGGCUGCUCGGUCGGGGAGGGGGCGGAGGAUGGCGGAGCCUCCUACUCUGCAUAACGCCCGCCGCCUCCCAGUCCUCCGCCCUGAUCCGGUCCCUGGCAUUACUGGUGCUCUGGGUGGCGACACAGCUACAAAACGGGGAAUGUCCCAGAGCAGGAGACCCAGCUCUCAGCAUUUCUGUGACAAGAUACCCGGGGAGAAGGAUUUUAUGUAGUCAAUACAACAAAACCUGAAGACCCCCAUUUCCUUUCCCCUGCCUCACAUCGUGGCGUUAGUAUCUCGCAUUCACGCAGUUCCCUGCUGGGGCACCCAAGGGCGCAUUAGUGAGGAGUGAACAGUUCAGAGAAGAUUUGAGAGUGAGGAAGAGGUUACUCACCGUGUGCAGUAGCUGCGGUUCCUUGAGAAGUGUGUCCCUGUGGGUGCUGGGUGCUCCACUCUAGGUGUCUUUGCAUCUACCGAUCUGAGGCGCACGGAUACACCUGCAGUGGAGCACCCAUAGAGACACUACUCAAAGAAGAAGAAAAGUUUAGUCACCUUGCGCACUAACGAUGGUUUUUCGAGAUGUGUCCCCCUUUGAGUGCUCCAUUGUAGGUGUAGCCACAUCCCUGGCCCUCACAUUGGGGAUGCAAAGACACCUAGAGUGCAGCACCCAUAGGGACACUAGCUGAAGAAGAAUCAAUAUUUCCCGGUAAAGCUACAUUUUCCGGAGAAGGGCUAUUUUGGCAGGCCACAUCUCAGCCACCACUUUAGCAUGGUUUGGUUUGGUUUGGUUAGCUGGCUUUGUCCAUUAAAAUUAUGAAUGGUACCUGAAUACUGCUAACUGCAAAAAUAAUAACUUUGAGGCACUGAUGUUGUAAACUUAUAAAGCAAAGACAUACUCCUUGGGCGUCCAAGCCUGGAGAACUAUCCAGCCACACCAGUAUCUUAAAGGUUUUGCCUGACAAUAAAUAAAAAUUGUUCUGACCAAAUCGUGAUGCCUUGCAGUUAUUAUACUGCAGAAUAUACUCAUCCAUGAGUAAGGCUAUGAUUUAGUCCCGGGUAUUUUAAUAAAAGUCAUGGACAGGUCAUGGGCAAUAAACAAAAAUUCAUGGCCUGUGACCUAUUCAUGACUUAUACCCCUUAUACUUAUAAUCUUCAGCGAGGGGGCCACUACGGGGGGGGGAGGUGGGGUACGUCUGGGGAGGCCACUACUGCGGGGAGCCAGGGGCAGCGGCACCAACUGCCAGGGACUUCUGAGCAGCGGCUGCUCCAGCCACCCUGGGACCACUGCUGGGGGCCACCGACAGCGGCUGCUGCCAAGGGUCGUCAACAGCGGCUUCUCCAGCCACCCUGGGACUGCUGCCGGGGGCCACCAACAGCAGCUGCUCUUCCCCCCCCCCAGGACCACUACUCAGGCAAUCCCUGGGGCCGGCCAUACUGGUCGCUGCUCGGGCAGUCCCCAGGGCCACCCGAGCAGUGGCUGGUGCAUUUGGCCCCAAGCCCACUCCAGCAGCGGCUGGUACAGCUGGCUGCGGGGACGCCCAAGUGACUGGCUGUGGAGCUACUUUAGCAGCAGCUGGUGUGGCUGAACCCAGGGCCACCUGAACAGCUGGGGUCAGCCAAACUGGCCACCACAGAAGUCACAGAGGUUGCGGAAAGUCACGGAAUCCAUGACCUCCAUGACAAACAUGAAGCCCUAUCCGUGAGCCCCAAAAUAAAUUGUGUUGGGUGUAGAGUAUCUGUGAGUCAACAUUCUGAUUUUACAUUAUUUGUAUAGUUUUUACUUUUUAUCCAGAUGGAAGAAAACAUUCCUGAGACUGAUUAUUAUGUGAAAAUAAAAUAAAAUGUACAUACGUGAUUGAGUCA